This 630-nucleotide ribosomal RNA is filed under the name uncultured bacterium. RNAcentral describes it as "bacterial SSU rRNA". It matches the Rfam family "Bacterial small subunit ribosomal RNA", at positions 60 to 689 of the family's 1533-position model. The record is from RNAcentral.
AGUCGAACGAACACUUUUACAGAUUUCUUCGGAAUGAAGUUUUAGCGACUGAGUGGCGGACGGGUGAGUAACGCGUGGGUAACCUGCCUCACACAGGGGGAUAACAGUUGGAAACGGCUGCUAAUACCGCAUAAGCGCACAGUACCGCAUGGUACAGUGUGAAAAACUCCGGUGGUGUGAGAUGGACCCGCGUCUGAUUAGCUAGUUGGCAGGGCAACGGCCUACCAAGGCGACGAUCAGUAGCCGACCUGAGAGGGUGACCGGCCACAUUGGGACUGAGACACGGCCCAAACUCCUACGGGAGGCAGCAGUGGGGAAUAUUGCACAAUGGGGGAAACCCUGAUGCAGCGACGCCGCGUGAGCGAAGAAGUAUUUCGGUAUGUAAAGCUCUAUCAGCAGGGAAGAAGAAAUGACGGUACCUGACUAAGAAGCACCGGCUAAAUACGUGCCAGCAGCCGCGGUAAUACGUAUGGUGCAAGCGUUAUCCGGAUUUACUGGGUGUAAAGGGAGCGCAGGCGGAAGGCUAAGUCUGAUGUGAAAGCCCGGGGCUCAACCACGGUACUGCAUUGGAAACUGGUCAUCUAGAGUGUCGGAGGGGUAAGUGGAAUUCCUAGUGUAGCGGUGAAAUGC